Molecule: ribosomal RNA, 439 nt
Filed under: uncultured bacterium
Lineage: Bacteria
Description: partial 16S ribosomal RNA
Rfam family: Bacterial small subunit ribosomal RNA
Source: RNAcentral
CUACGGGUUGCUGCAGUGGGGGAUAUUGCACAAUGGGCGAAAGCCUGAUGCAGCAACGCCGCGUGAAGGAAGACGGUUUUCGGAUUGUAAACUUCUAUCAGCAGGGAAGAAAAUGACUGUACCUGACUAAGAAGCCCCGGCUAACUACGUGCCAGCAGCCGCGGUAAUACGUAGGGGGCAAGCGUUAUCCGGAUUUACUGGGUGUAAAGGGUACGUAGGCGGUUUAUUAAGUCAGAUGUGAAAGCCCGGGGCUCAACCCCGGGACUGCAUUUGAAACUGGUGAACUAGAGUACAGGAGAGGUAAGUUGAAUUCCUAGUGUAGCGGUGAAAUGCGUAGAUAUUAGGAAGAACACCAGUGGCGAAGGCGGCUUACUGGACUGUAACUGACGCUGAGGUACGAAAGCGUGGGGAGCGAACAGGAUUAAAUACCCUCGUAGUC